RNAcentral lists this long non-coding RNA (215 nucleotides) under Fukomys damarensis (Damara mole-rat). RNAcentral's name for it is "lncRNA (ENSFDAG00000025807.1)". Lineage: Eukaryota; Metazoa; Chordata; Mammalia; Rodentia; Bathyergidae. The record is from RNAcentral.
CCUGGUCAGCUGUCUGAAAUAAUAUAGUAUGUCAUAGUCCUGGAUGUGAUGGAAAGCUGCAUUUACAUGAUCCAUAGAGGAUCCAUCUGGAAACAGAACAUUUAUCCACACAUGGAAAGUAAGAAGGCUUUUGUAAGUUGCUGUUGGAAGAAAGAAUAUAUAAAAUUGUCAAGACCCCUGCCAGAAACUACACAAGGACAUUGGUAUUCAAAUAU